AGGGCGCAAGGGGAAUGCCUUGGCACUGAGAGCCGACGAAGGACGCGACAAGCUGCGAUAAGCUACGGGGAGCCGCAAAUGGGCUUUGAUCCGUAGAUUUCCGAAUGGGGAAACCCGGCAGAGCAAUACUCUGUCAGCGUGCGUUGAAUCAAAUAGGCGUACGCGGGGAACCGCCUGAACUGAAACAUCUAAGUAGGGCGAGGAAGAGAAAUCAACCGAGAUUCCGCUAGUAGUGGCGAGCGAACGCGGAAGAGGCCAAACCGGAGGUAGCAAUAUUUCCGGGGUUAGGACUGCAACAUGUAACUUUAAUCUUUAACUGAAUGCUUUGGGAAGAGCAGCGAAACAGGGUGAUAGCCCCGUAAGUGAAAAGGAUUGAGUGCUAGCAGUAUCCAGAGUACCAGCGGACACGUGAAACCCGCUGGGAAGAUGGGGGGACCAUCCUCCAAGCCUAAAUACUACUCAGUGACCGAUAGUGGAGCAGUACCGUGAGGGAAAGGUGAAAAGUACCCCGGGAGGGGAGUGAAAAAGAACCUGAAACCUUGUGCCUACAAGCACCGAGAGCACGUUAAAGUGUGAUCGGGUACUUUUUGUAGAACGGUCCGGCGAGUUAAUAUUUGCAGCGAGGUUAAGGAACUGGAGUUCCGGAGCCGCAGCGAGAGCGAGUCUGAAAAGGGCGUAUGAAGUUGCAGGUAUUAGACCCGAAACCGGGUGACCUAUCCAUGAGCAGGCUGAAGCGGUGGUAAGACACCGUGGAGGGCCGCACCCACGUCUGUUGAAAAAGCCGGGGAUGACUUGUGGAUAGCGGAGAAAUUCCAAUCGAACUCGGAGAUAGCUGGUUCUCCCCGAAAUAGCUUUAGGGCUAGCGUUAUGUUAGAUUACCGGAGGUAAAGCACUGAAUGGUGGCGGGGCCGAUAAGGUUACCAAGACCUAUCAAACUCUGAAUGCCGGAUAAUUGAUGCAUAGCAGUCAGACAGCGUGAGAUAAGUUUCGUUGUCAAAAGGGAAACAGCCCAGACCCACAGCUAAGGUCCCAAAUUCAUGCUAAGUGGAAAACGAUGUGGAAUUGCGAAAACAACCAGGAUGUUGGCUUAGAAGCAGCCACUCAUUAAAAGAGUGCGUAAUAGCUCACUGGUCGAGUGACUCUGCGCGGAAAAUAUAACGGGGCUAAGCAUGAAACCGAAGCUUGGGCUUGUACUUAGGUACAGGGGUAGGGGAGCGUCGAGUAUGGGGUGAAGUCAGAGCGGAAGCACUGGUGGACUGUACUGGAGUGAGAAUGCCGGAAUGAGUAGCGAGAAUUAUGUGGGAAUCAUAAUGGCCGAAAAUCUAAGGUUUCUUGGGGAAGGUUCGUCCGCCCAAGGUAAGCCGGGAGCUAAGGCGAGGCCGAAAGGCGUAGUCGAUGCACAUACGGUAGAAAUUCCGUAGCCACCGAACUUUAAGUCAGAGGGACACUUUUGGAUAGCGGAACCCGGGCGUUGGUUGACCCGGGCGAAAGGGAGCGAAAAUAUAGUAGCGAAGUCCGCGAUGCUGAGAGGCGAGAAAAGCUCUGAUGGAUACUAAGGUGCCCGUACCGCAAACCGACACAGGUAGAUGAGGAGAGAAUCCUAAGGCCAACGGGAGAAGGGUUGUUAAGGAACUCGGCAAAUUGACCCCGUAACUUCGGAAGAAGGGGAGCCCCCUACGGGGGGUCGCAGAGAAAUGGCCCAAGCAACUGUUUACCAAAAACACAGGUCUAUGCUAAAUCGAAAGAUGACGUAUAUGGGCUGACGCCUGCCCGGUGCCGGAAGGUUAAGAGGAGAUGUCAGGCAACGAAGCAUUGAAUUUAAGCCCCGGUAAACGGCGGCCGUAACUAUAACGGUCCUAAGGUAGCGAAAUUCCUUGUCAGGUAAGUUCUGACCCGCACGAAUGGCGUAAUGAUUUGGGCACUGUCUCAACAGCCCGCCCGGCGAAAUUGUAGUACUGGUGAAGAUGCCAGUUACCCGCAACUAGACGGAAAGACCCCAUGGAGCUUUACUGCAGUUUAAUACUGGGAAUCGGUAAUUCAUGUACAGGAUAGGUGGGAGACUGAGAAGCAUGGCCGUCAGGUCGUGUGGAGUCACCCUCAUCUUCAUUGUAUGAAUCAAUAUCGGAAAUAAGCGCAACAUCCUCAAGAAAUUCAGAAAGAUUUGCGUCUUCGCUUUCUUCCUCAUACUUGAUAAACAUUGAUGAAAGUUCCUUGAUAUUGUUUACUCUGUCCUCGUAUGUUUCAGGCUCCUCCUGAAGAUAAUCAAGAUAUUUGGUAACGUCCAAAACUUCUUGCAGCAAGUCAUUAAGCCCCAUUCCGUUUUCGAUACAUUCCUGAAAAUCUCUAAUCAUUUUUGUAAAAUUCAUAAGCUUGGAAGCACUGCGUGAGGUUUUUUGAAAUUCAUCUGCACGUUCGCAAACCUCGAAAGCCGACAUACCAAGCCCUGCCCCGAUUUCAAGCACGUUUGCAAACAUAGUAUCCCCAAUUGCACGCUUUGGAACAUUAAUGAUUCGCUGAAGCCUUACAUUAUCGCUCGGAUUAUUAAUAACGGCAAGAUACGACACAAUAUCCUUGAUUUCUUUUCUGUCAAAAAAGCGAUGACCGCCGAUAAUCCUGUGCGAAAUACCGCUUUUUGUAAGCAUAACUUCAAGGUUACGUGACUGCGCAUUCAUACGGUAAAGAAUUGCGUGG
RNAcentral lists this ribosomal RNA (2691 nucleotides) under human gut metagenome. Its description in RNAcentral is "bacterial LSU rRNA". It matches the Rfam family "Bacterial large subunit ribosomal RNA", at positions 14 to 2311 of the family's 2925-position model. The record is from RNAcentral.